GCCCAGGUGGCGGAAUUGGUAGACGCACUACCUUGAGGUGGUAGCGGGUAACUCCGUGGGGGUUCGAGUCCCCCCUUGGGCACCA
Molecule: transfer RNA, 85 nt
Filed under: Lysobacteraceae bacterium
Lineage: Bacteria; Pseudomonadati; Pseudomonadota; Gammaproteobacteria; Lysobacterales; Lysobacteraceae
Also listed under: 3 other names
Description: tRNA-Leu
Rfam family: tRNA
About the family: Transfer RNA (tRNA) molecules are approximately 80 nucleotides in length.
Source: RNAcentral